Danio aesculapii is the source of this 696-nucleotide long non-coding RNA. RefSeq lists it as uncharacterized. The record is from RefSeq and is a predicted model, not a curated record. Lineage: Eukaryota; Metazoa; Chordata; Actinopteri; Cypriniformes; Danionidae. The transcript is spliced from 4 exons.
UGUCUUCAGCUCUACAAUCCUCAACCUGUGUCCUGAGAGAGCUGGACCUGAGUAACAAUGACCUGCAGGAUUCAGGAGUGAAGCUUCUCUCUGAUGAUGACUGAAGAGUCAACACUGUAAACUGGAGACACUGAGAUUGUCUGGCUGUAUGGUGACAGAGGAAGGCUGUGUUUUCUGUCUUCAGCUCUGACUUCAAACCCCUCACACCUGAGAGAGCUGGAUCUGAGCUACAAUCAUCCAGGAGAUUCAGGAGUCAAGCUGCUCUCUGAACAACUGGAGGAUCCAAACUACACACUGGCCAAACUCAAUCUGGAUCAUGGAGGAGACGCGAGGAUUACAGCAGGACCGCGCAAAUAUGUCUGUUUCCUCACACUGGAUCCAAACACAGCACACACUCGACUCAUUCUGUGUGAGAACAGAGAGGUGAAGAGUGUGUCGAAGAAUCAGCCGUAUCCUGAUCAUCCAGACAGAUUUGAUGGUGUGUAUCCUCAGGUGUUGUGCAGAGAGAGUGUGUGUGGACGCUGUUACUGGGAGAUUGACUGGAGUGGAGAUGGUGGUGUGGAAAUAUCAGUGUCAUAUAAGAGCAUCAGGAGGAAGGGAGGAGGUGUUGAGUGUGUGUUUGGAUCUAAUGCUCAGUCCUGGAGUUUGAGCUGCUCUUCCUCCAGAUUCACAUUCAUACACAAUAACACACACACU